GACGUAGGAUGCAAGCGUUGUCCGGAUUUAUUGGGCGUAAAGAGUUCGUAGGUGGUUUGUUAAGUCUGAUGUUAAAGACUGGGGCUCAACCUCGGAAAUGCAUUGGAUACUGGCAGACUCGAGUGCAGUAGAGGCAAGUGGAAUUCCGGGUGUAGUGGUGAAAUGCGUAGAGAUCCGGAGGAACACCAGUGGCGAAGGCGACACGCUGGGCCGUACCUGACACUGAUGCGCGACAGCAUGGGGAGCAAACGGG
RNAcentral lists this ribosomal RNA (253 nucleotides) under uncultured bacterium. RNAcentral describes it as "partial 16S ribosomal RNA". It matches the Rfam family "Bacterial small subunit ribosomal RNA", at positions 524 to 776 of the family's 1533-position model. The record is from RNAcentral.